This 516-nucleotide long non-coding RNA is filed under the name Felis catus (domestic cat). RNAcentral's name for it is "lncRNA (ENSFCAG00000049488.1)". Lineage: Eukaryota; Metazoa; Chordata; Mammalia; Carnivora; Felidae. The record is from RNAcentral.
GCAUGAGAUUUGUUGGGCAGCUGAAAAUUGCUGUAGCAAUGAAGCACAAGAUGUGCCACCCAGGACAACCACAUCCAGAAAGAAAGGAGACCUCUUCUGGUUGCACAUGAGGAUGCAACCUCUUCCUGUACCAGAGGAAGCUGCAAAAGAAAAUAGCUGGACCAUGUCCACGAUGCUCCAGAUGCCACAGAAGAUUUCAGAAAAAGUGAACCAGGAGUGCCCUCGGUCCCCAGCCAACAGCUUUGAAGGUGGCCUGGAAGAACCAGAUGAAGACAAUACCUAAAUAAAAUCGGAAAAGAAACAAUGCUGGAGGAACUCCUCUCCUGCACCUGAAUCUUCUGGGCCAUACAAAUAGAAGAUGUUCGGGGUUGCAAUGAGCAGAGAAGACUGUGACUCCUGGGGACAAGGGGACCCAGCAAGAUGGCCACCACACCCUGGUUGGUUUUCCAGGCACCGCUGAUGACUGACACUAUGAGGAGGAAGCAGCACUCCAGACCAUCAAUAGUGCCCUGUGGG